AGUCGAUCGGUNNCGCGGGGGCACCCUGGCGACGAGAGGCGGACGNNNGAGGAACGCUUGGGAAUCUGCCCAUCAGCGGGGGACAACCCGGGGAAACCCGGGCUAAUACCGCAUACGCUCUACGGAGGAAAGCCGGGGACCGCAAGGCCUGGCACUGAUGGAUGAGCCCAAGUCGGAUUAGCUAGUUGGCGGGGUAACGGCCCACCAAGGCGACGAUCCGUAGCUGGUCUGAGAGGACGAUCAGCCACACUGGGACUGAGACACGGCCCAGACUCCUACGGGAGGCAGCAGUGGGGAAUAUUGGACAAUGGGGGAAACCCUGAUCCAGCGACGCCGCGUGGGUGAAGAAGGCCUGCGGGUUGUAAAGCCCUUUCGGUAGGGACGAAAGCUCUCGACCUAACACGUCGAGAGGAUGACUUAACCUACAAAAGAAGCACCGGCUAACUCUGUGCCAGCAGCCGCGGUAAUACAGAGGGUGCGAGCGUUAAUCGGAAUUACUGGGCGUAAAGCGCACGUAGGCGGCUUGGCAUGUCGGGUGUGAAAUCCCCGGGCUCAACCUGGGAACUGCAUCCGAAACUGCCUUGCUAGAGUAUGGGAGAGGGAAGUGGAAUUUCCGGUGUAGCGGUGAAAUGCGUAGAUAUCGGAAGGAACAUCAGUGGCGNAGGCGACUUCCUGGACCAAUACUGACGCUCAGGUGCGAAAGCGU
RNAcentral lists this ribosomal RNA (706 nucleotides) under uncultured bacterium. Its description in RNAcentral is "bacterial SSU rRNA". It matches the Rfam family "Bacterial small subunit ribosomal RNA", at positions 60 to 762 of the family's 1533-position model. The record is from RNAcentral.